CAGUCGCCGCGGUAAUACGAAGGGGGCUAGCGUUGUUCGGAAUUACUGGGCGUAAAGCGCACGCAGGCGGCUCGAUAAAUUAGAAGUGAAAGCCUUGGGCUUAACCUGAGAAUUGCUUUUAAGACUGUCGAGCUAGAAUCCAGAAGAGGGUAGUGGAAUUCCGAGUGUAGCAGUGAAAUGCGUAGAGAUGCGGAGGAACACCGAUGGCGAAGGCAGCCCCCUGGGAUGACACUGACGCUCAUGCACGAAAGCGUGGGGAGCAAACAGGAUUAGAUACCCGAGUAGUCCCUGUCUCUUAUAC
RNAcentral lists this ribosomal RNA (301 nucleotides) under uncultured bacterium. Its description in RNAcentral is "partial 16S ribosomal RNA". It matches the Rfam family "Bacterial small subunit ribosomal RNA", at positions 509 to 807 of the family's 1533-position model. The record is from RNAcentral.